AAAGAGAAGCCUGUGGCGAAAGCAAGUUCGAAUACUGAUUCUAAACCAACUACCUCUUCAAGCCAGGGAGCUCCUUCUGCCAAGGAUGCUGCUCCAGAAAAAACGAAGAAGAGUUCAAAGGUAUUACAUCAAAUAACUUCUUUGUCUCUUUCGUAUUUUUCUAACUGUUUAUAAUUUUCCUUUUUCAGGGUAGUGGCAAGCCUCCUUUGACGCCCAAGAAAAGAAAAGUCCCCACUACAAAUGUAAUUCUUGUCGAAGACGAUGAAGAAGAA
RNAcentral lists this long non-coding RNA (272 nucleotides) under Lathyrus oleraceus (garden pea). RNAcentral describes it as "Pisum sativum (pea) long non-coding RNA (PSAT_LNC016955)". Lineage: Eukaryota; Viridiplantae; Streptophyta; Magnoliopsida; Fabales; Fabaceae. The record is from RNAcentral.